Long non-coding RNA from Rattus norvegicus (Norway rat), 457 nucleotides. RefSeq lists it as uncharacterized. NCBI's taxonomy places the organism in Eukaryota, Metazoa, Chordata, Mammalia, Rodentia, Muridae. The record is from RefSeq and is a predicted model, not a curated record.
UCACUUUCCUUCUUCUCUUGCAGCUGUUUUCCCUGAUUUACAUUUUUAUUGAAGAUGGAUUCUUCUUCCAAAUGAUUCAUCUCAUCACAGUUUCCCCUCCCUCCACUACUCCCAGCUCCCCCUCUAGCAUUCCCUCCCUUCCAGAUUCACCCCCCUCCAUUUCCUAUAAGAAAAUAGCAGGCCCCCAAGAGACAACAACCAGACAGGACAGAACAAAAUGCAGCAAGACAAGGCAACAGCCCUCACACAGAAGAUGGACAAGGCCACCCUACAUGAGAAAAAGAGUCCCAGGAACAGGAUUGCCUGAGCUCCAAGAGGACGGAUCUGAUGGAGACCUCUGAUUUAGAUUCUCUGUCUGCAUAAUUGGCUGUAGAUUUCCACAUCUAUUCAUCAUCUGCUGAUGAUGACUGGAUAUAAUAUGAAUUAUAGUAAUAAUUUCAUUGAUUUGUUUUAAGAC